This 481-nucleotide ribosomal RNA is filed under the name uncultured bacterium. Its description in RNAcentral is "partial 16S ribosomal RNA". It matches the Rfam family "Bacterial small subunit ribosomal RNA", at positions 28 to 507 of the family's 1533-position model. The record is from RNAcentral.
GAUGAACGCUGGCGGCGUGCCUAACACAUGCAAGUCGAACGGAGAUUACGGACGGAAGUUUUCGGAUGGAGGCCUGUAAUUCUUAGUGGCGGACGGGUGAGUAACGCGUGGGCAACCUGCCCUAUACAGGGGGAUAGCAGCUGGAAACGGCUGGUAAGACCGCAUAAGUCGGUUAAAUCGCAUGAUUUGAUCGGGAAAUGAGCAAUCAGGUAUAGGAUGGGCCCGCGUCCGAUUAGCCAGUUGGCAGGGUAAAAGCCUACCAAAGCGACGAUCGGUAGCCGGACUGAGAGGUCGGACGGCCACAUUGGGACUGAGACACGGCCCAAACUCCUACGGGAGGCAGCAGUGGGGGAUAUUGCACAAUGGAGGAAACUCUGAUGCAGCGACGCCGCGUGAGUGAAGAAGUAUUUCGGUAUGUAAAGCUCUAUCAGCAGGGAAGAUGAUGACGGUACCUGAAUAAGAAGCCCCGGCUAACUACGUG